GGAAUGAAUGUAUUUCACAUGUGAGAAGGACACAAAUUUAGGGCAGACUGGGGCAGAAUGCUAUGGUUUGAAUUUGCCUGUCUUUCAAAAUUUGUGGUAAAAUGUAGUCCUCGUUGUUGUAGUAUUAAAAGAUGGGGCCUAUGGGGAAGUGAUUGAGUCAUGAGGGAUCUGCUCUCACGGACGGAUUAGUGCCUUGUAACCAGGAUGGAGGAAACUAACUUAGGUAUCUUUUUUCCUUCUGCCAUACGCAGCAACAAAGCACCAUCUUGGAAGCAGAGAGCCACCCUCACCAGAACUGAAUGCAGGCACCAUGACCUUGAACUUCCCAGCCUCCAGAACUGUGAGAAAUAAAUUUCUGUUCUUUAUAACUUACCCAGUCUCAGGUAUUUUGUUACAGCAACACCAGUGGACUAAGUCACAGUCUCAGGAAGAAAGCAUGCAUUCCUCUUUUCUCCCUAUUAGUGCUGCCAGGACCUGCAGAACUCCAGAUGGAUUCCCCUGGCUGACACUUGAAAGAUUUUUGCUCUAACUUAAUAGAAAUGACAGACUGGCAAAGCCAUAGUUAAAUCAGUUGGAGGAGCCACAAAUCAAAUCAUCUUUACAGAAAGAUGUGAGUGCACAUGGAAAUUUAUGGAGUCUCUCAGCAUUGUAGAAGAGCCUCUGUUUCUUCUCACUGGUUCCUGUCCUCCUCAGCUUGGUAUAUAACUCCUGAGGGCUGAAUACCUGGUUGCUGAAGGAUCCAGUCCCUGCCCUAUAACCGAGGAAGAAUUUCUACUUCCCCUUCCUGUCCAGAAGUGAUAUUCCCAGGGAUCACCUUUUUCUCUCCUGCCCUAUGGACUUCAGAUAUAUCUAUCUGCCUUUCACUAUGACAAUAAAUGUCACUGAUUUGCUUUAAUGGUAGAAAAGACUACAGAGAGAGAGAGUAAAAAUAAAAAAUGUAUUAAUAUGGGAGAAUAUACACCCAGAGGAAUUUUUGAAAAUAGUUUCUCCAUCACAGAAGCAAAACUAGAGCUGGGUGGUUUAUACUGGGUGAUAUAGUUUGGCUGUGUCCCUACCCAAAUCUCACCUUGAAUUGUAAUAAUUCCCAUGUGUCAAGUGUGGGACCAGGUAGAGAUAAUUGAAUCAUGGGGUUGGUUUUCCCCAUACCGUUCUCAUGGUAAUGAAUAAGUCUCAUGAGAUCUGACGGUUUUAUAAAUGGGAGUUCCCCUGCACAAGCUGUCUUGCCUGCUGUCAUGUAAGAUGUGACUUUGCUCCUCAUUCACCUUCCGCCAUGACUGUGAGGCUUCCCCAG
This 1291-nucleotide long non-coding RNA is filed under the name Pan troglodytes (chimpanzee). RNAcentral describes it as "long non-coding RNA NONPTRT000745". Lineage: Eukaryota; Metazoa; Chordata; Mammalia; Primates; Hominidae. The record is from RNAcentral.